AUUUUCUUUAAAUUUAAAGAAUUUGGCGGUAAUUUAGUCUGGUCAGAGGAAUCUGCUUCUAAUUAGUCGAUAUAACCCGUAAGAUCUUACUUAUUUUCAUUUAGUUUGUAUACCAUCAUUAGCAGAUAAUUUUUAAAAAAGAAAUUAUUGAAUUUAAUUGUUAUUAAGAAAAUUAGAUCAAGGUGCAGCUUAUAAAUAAGGUGAAGUGGAUUACAAUAAAAUAAAUUUAAACGGAGUAGGAUAGUUAGGUUUCUUAUGAAGGAGGAUUUGAUUGUAAUAUAAGUUUAAUAAGCUUAGG
RNAcentral lists this ribosomal RNA (298 nucleotides) under Potamonautes namuliensis. Its description in RNAcentral is "partial 12S ribosomal RNA". The record is from RNAcentral. Lineage: Eukaryota; Metazoa; Arthropoda; Malacostraca; Decapoda; Potamonautidae.